GAUGAACGCUGGCGGCGUGCCUAACACAUGCAAGUCGAGCGAAGCGAUUUAGCGGAAGUUUUCGGAUGGAAGUUAAAUUGACUGAGCGGCGACGGGUGAGGUACGCGUGGUAACCUGCCUCAUACAGGGGGAUAACAGUUAGAAAUGACUGCUAAUACCGCAUAAGCGCACAGCAUCGCAUGAUGCAGUGUGAAAAACUCCGGUGGUAUGAGAUGGACCCGCGUCUGAUUAGCUAGUUGGUGAGGUAAAGGCCCACCAAGGCGACGAUCAGUAGCCGACCUGAGAGGGUGAUCGGCCACAUUGGGACUGAGACACGGCCCAA
Molecule: ribosomal RNA, 322 nt
Filed under: uncultured bacterium
Lineage: Bacteria
Description: bacterial SSU rRNA
Rfam family: Bacterial small subunit ribosomal RNA
Source: RNAcentral